RNAcentral lists this ribosomal RNA (468 nucleotides) under uncultured Actinomycetes bacterium. Its description in RNAcentral is "bacterial SSU rRNA". It matches the Rfam family "Bacterial small subunit ribosomal RNA", at positions 379 to 856 of the family's 1533-position model. The record is from RNAcentral. Lineage: Bacteria; Bacillati; Actinomycetota; Actinomycetes.
AAGUCUGAUGCAGCAACGCCGCGUGAGGGAUGAAGGCCUUCGGGUUGUAAACCUCUUUUAGCAGGGAAGAAGCGAAAGUGACGGUACCUGCAGAAAAAGCACCGGCUAACUACGUGCCAGCAGCCGCGGUAAUACGUAGGGUGCAAGCGUUGUCCGGAAUUAUUGGGCGUAAAGAGCUCGUAGGCGGUUUGUCGCGUCUGCUGUGAAAUUUCGAGGCUCAACCUCGAACUUGCAUUGGGUACGGGCAGGCUCGAGUGCAGUAGGGGAGAUGGGAAUUCCUGGUGUAGCGGUGGAAUGCGCAGAUAUCAGGAGGAACACCAAUGGCGAAGGCACAUCUCUGGGCUGUAACUGACGCUGAGGAGCGAAAGCGUGGGGAGCGAACAGGAUUAGAUACCCUGGUAGUCCACGCCGUAAACGGUGGGGUGCUAGCUGUGGGGCACAUUCCACGUGUUCCGUGACGAAGUUAAC